Molecule: transfer RNA, 75 nt
Filed under: Achromobacter spanius
Lineage: Bacteria; Pseudomonadati; Pseudomonadota; Betaproteobacteria; Burkholderiales; Alcaligenaceae
Description: tRNA-Met(cat)
Source: RNAcentral
GGCGGCGUGGCCCGGCCAGUUGUCGGGCAGCAUCGGCCCGGGUAGUUGCGGAUCGUGCAGCACGAUCCGGCGCCA